This 656-nucleotide ribosomal RNA is filed under the name uncultured bacterium. Its description in RNAcentral is "bacterial SSU rRNA". The stretch from base 1 to 560 matches the Rfam family "Bacterial small subunit ribosomal RNA", at positions 28 to 546 of the family's 1533-position model. The record is from RNAcentral.
GAUGAACGCUAGCUACAGGCUUAACACAUGCAAGUCGAGGGGCAGCAUGAACUUAGCUUGCUAAGUUUGAUGGCGACCGGCGCACGGGUGCGUAACGCGUAUCCAACCUGCCAUGUACUCCGGUAUAUGCCCGUCUGAAAGGAGGAUUAAUCCCGGAUGUGGUUGUUGAGGACAUCUGAUUUUCAACCAAAUAUUCUCCGCCCUCAUCGAUGGGGAUGCGUCUGAUUCUGCUUUGUCGGCGGGGUAACGGCCCACCGCCGGCGACGAUCAGUAGGGGUUCUGAGAGGAAGGUCCCCCACAUUGGAACUGAGACACGGUCCAAACUCCUACGGGGAGGCAGCAGUGAGGAUUAUUGGGUCAAUGGACGAAAGUCUGAACCAGCCAAGUAGGCGUUGCAGGAUGACGGCCCUAUGGGGUUGUAAACUGGCUUUUAUAUAAGGGAUAAGUGCACCUACGUGGUAGUUGUUUUUGGAGGUACUAUAUGGAUUAAGGAACCGGGCUUAAUUCCGUUGCCAGCAGGCGGCGGGUUAAUUACGGGAAGGGUCCCGGGGGCGUUAUCCUGGGAAUUUUAUUGGGUUUUUAAAGGAAUGCCAGGCUGAUGUAUUAAUCGUGACUGUAAUGGUAUGCGUCUCACAGGUGUUGAAACUGUGGUUUCU